UGGGGAAUUUUGGACAAUGGGGGCAACCCUGAUCCAGCAAUGCCGCGUGAGUGAAGAAGGCCUUCGGGUUGUAAAGCUCUUUUGUCAGGGAAGAAACGGUAGUAGCGAAUAACUAUUACUAAUGACGGUACCUGAAGAAUAAGCACCGGCUAACUACGUGCCAGCAGCCGCGGUAAUACGUAGGGUGCAAGCGUUAAUCGGAAUUACUGGGCGUAAAGCGUGCGCAGGCGGUUGUGUAAGUCAGAUGUGAAAUCCCCGGGCUCAACCUGGGAAUUGCAUUUGAGACUGCACGGCUAGAGUGUGUCAGAGGGGGGUAGAAUUCCACGUGUAGCAGUGAAAUGCGUAGAUAUGUGGAGGAAUACCGAUGGCGAAGGCAGCCCCCUGGGAUAACACUGACGCUCAUGCACGAAAGCGUGGGGAGCAAACAGGAUUAGAUACCCCUGUAUUCCCUGAGCGGGCUGGCAAGGCGCAU
Molecule: ribosomal RNA, 472 nt
Filed under: uncultured bacterium
Lineage: Bacteria
Description: bacterial SSU rRNA
Rfam family: Bacterial small subunit ribosomal RNA
Source: RNAcentral